Molecule: ribosomal RNA, 517 nt
Filed under: uncultured Nectriaceae
Lineage: Eukaryota; Fungi; Ascomycota; Sordariomycetes; Hypocreales; Nectriaceae
Description: eukaryotic LSU rRNA
Rfam family: 5.8S ribosomal RNA (bases 148-301)
Source: RNAcentral
AGGGAUCAUUACCGAGUUUACAACUCCCAAACCCCUGUGAACAUACCUAUCGUUGCCUCGGCGGUACCCGCUCCGGCGGCCCGCCAGAGGACCCCCAAACUCUUGUUUUAUACAGUAUCUUCUGAGUAACACGAUUAAAUAAAUCAAAACUUUCAACAACGGAUCUCUUGGUUCUGGCAUCGAUGAAGAACGCAGCGAAAUGCGAUAAGUAAUGUGAAUUGCAGAAUUCAGUGAAUCAUCGAAUCUUUGAACGCACAUUGCGCCCGCCAGUAUUCUGGCGGGCAUGCCUGUUCGAGCGUCAUUUCAACCCUCAAGCCCCCGGGCUUGGUGUUGGGGAUCGGCGUGCCCUCGUGGCGCGCCGUCCCCUAAAUCUAGUGGCGGUCUCGCUGUAGCUUCCUCUGCGUAGUAGCAACACUCGCACUGGAUCGCAGCGCGGCCACGCCGUUAAACCCCCCACUUCUGAAAGUUUGACCUCGGAUCAGGUAGGAAUACCCGCUGAACUUAAGCAUAUCAAUAA